CUAAAUAUUCGUUAGGUGAGGUUCCUAUACAGAUAAAUGCUGCUGCCCGGAAACAUCGAGAGAUGCCAAUGGGUCAACAGGUAUUACCGAAAUAAGGUUUUACUUAAUGUAGCUGGAGAUAAAGUGGUCCAAAGCUGUAUAGUGCUAAAACUCAACGAGUGAAGGGUUUU
This 170-nucleotide small RNA is filed under the name Ruminiclostridium cellulolyticum. RNAcentral's name for it is "Clostridium cellulolyticum Magnesium sequence". It matches the Rfam family "M-box riboswitch aptamer (ykoK leader)". Rfam says of the family: M-box riboswitch, also know as ykoK leader is described as a metaloregulatory RNA that sense divalent metals and function as a genetic control element of genes related to divalent metal transport in bacteria. It was first reported upstream of the B.subtilis ykoK gene and genes with related functions in other bacteria. RNAcentral also lists the same sequence under 1 other name. Lineage: Bacteria; Bacillati; Bacillota; Clostridia; Eubacteriales; Oscillospiraceae. The record is from RNAcentral.